AUUGAACGCUGGCGGAAUGCUUUACACAUGCAAGUCGAGCGGCAGCGCGGGGGCAACCCUGGCGGCGAGCGGCGAACGGGUGAGUAACAUAUCGGAACGUACCCCGUCGUGGGGGAUAACACAGCGAAAGCUGUGCUAAUACCGCAUACGACCUGAGGGUGAAAGCGGGGGAUCGCAAGACCUCGCGCGAUGGGAGCGGCCGAUAUCGGAUUAGCUUGUUGGUGAGGUAAAGGCUCACCAAGGCGACGAUCCGUAGCUGGUCUGAGAGGACGACCAGCCACACUGGAACUGAGACACGGUCCAGACUCCUACGGGAGGCAGCAGUGGGGAAUUUUGGGACAAUGGGGGGCAACCCUGAUCCAGCCAUUCCGCGUGAGUGAAGAAGGCCUUACGGGUUGUUAAAGGACUCGUUUCU
This 415-nucleotide ribosomal RNA is filed under the name uncultured bacterium. RNAcentral describes it as "bacterial SSU rRNA". It matches the Rfam family "Bacterial small subunit ribosomal RNA", at positions 29 to 439 of the family's 1533-position model. The record is from RNAcentral.